This 263-nucleotide ribosomal RNA is filed under the name uncultured bacterium. RNAcentral describes it as "partial 16S ribosomal RNA". It matches the Rfam family "Bacterial small subunit ribosomal RNA", at positions 793 to 1055 of the family's 1533-position model. The record is from RNAcentral.
GUCCACGCCGUAAACGUUGGGAACUAGGUGUGGGCCUCAUUCCACGAGGUCUGUGCCGCAGCUAACGCAUUAAGUUCCCCGCCUGGGGAGUACGGCCGCAAGGCUAAACUCAAAGGAAUUGACGGGGGCCCGCACAAGCGGCGGAGCAUGUGGAUUAAUUCGAUGCAACGAGAAGAACCUUACCCAAGGCUUGACAUACACCGGAAACACCCAGAGAUGGGUGCCCCGCCAAGGUCGGUGUACAGGUGGUGCAUGGUUGUCGU